GUCGACGGUGACUGGCUCCUGCAUGAUC
RNAcentral lists this small RNA (28 nucleotides) under Bombyx mori (domestic silkworm). RNAcentral describes it as "ovarian small RNA-17770". Lineage: Eukaryota; Metazoa; Arthropoda; Insecta; Lepidoptera; Bombycidae. The record is from RNAcentral.